GAUCCUGGCUCAGGAUGAACGCUAGCGGCAGGCUUUAAUACAUGCAAGUCAAGGGGUCAGCAAUGGCACCGGCGGACGGGUGAGUAACGCGUACACAACGUACCUUUAACUGGGGGAUAGCAUUUGGAAACGAGUGGUAAUACCGCAUGUGGUUGCAAGGGGAGGCAUUCUUUUUGCAACUAAAACUCAGGUGGUUAAAGAUCGGUGUGCGUCCGAUUAGCUUGUUGGUGAGGUAAUGGCUCACCAAGGCGACGAUCGGUAGGGGGCGUGAGAGCGUGAACCCCCACACGGGUACUGAGACACGGACCCGACUCCUACGGGAGGCAGCAGUAAGGAAUAUUGGUCAAUGGAGGCAACUCUGAACCAGCCAUGCCGCGUGGAGGAAGAAGGCGCUAUGCGUUGUAAACUUCUUUUGGGUGGGAAGAAAAUGGUCAAUUUAUUGACAACUGACGGUACCAUCAGAAUAAGCACCGGCUAACUCCGUG
RNAcentral lists this ribosomal RNA (485 nucleotides) under uncultured bacterium. RNAcentral's name for it is "bacterial SSU rRNA". It matches the Rfam family "Bacterial small subunit ribosomal RNA", at positions 15 to 507 of the family's 1533-position model. The record is from RNAcentral.